GAUGAAGAACGUAGCGAAAUGCGAUAAGUAGUGUGAAUUGCAGAAUUCAGUGAAUCAUCGCAUCUUUGAACGCACAUUGCGCCCUUUGGUAUUCCUUAGGGCAUGCCUGUUCGAGCGUCAUUUAAACCUUCAAGCUAAGCUUGGUGUUGGGUGACUGUCCGCUUCACUGCGGACUCGCCUCAAAAUUAUUGGCGGCCGGUACAUUGGCUUCGAGCGCAGCAGAAACGCGAACUCGGGCCCGUCGUAUUGGCUCCCAGAAGCUAGCUUCACAAUUUUGACCUCGGAUCAGGUAGGGAUACCCGCUGAACUUAAGCAUAUCAAUAAGCGGAGGA
Molecule: unclassified non-coding RNA, 332 nt
Filed under: soil metagenome
Description: partial contains 5.8S ribosomal RNA, internal transcribed spacer 2, and large subunit ribosomal RNA
Rfam family: 5.8S ribosomal RNA (bases 1-120)
Source: RNAcentral